This 329-nucleotide ribosomal RNA is filed under the name uncultured eukaryote. RNAcentral describes it as "partial 18S ribosomal RNA". It matches the Rfam family "Eukaryotic small subunit ribosomal RNA", at positions 1470 to 1796 of the family's 1831-position model. The record is from RNAcentral.
CCCUUAGAUGUUCUGGGCCGCACGCGCGCUACACUGACGAUGGCAACGAGUUUUUCCUUCGCCGAAAGGUGUGGGUAAUCUUUUAAAACAUCGUCGUGCUGGGGAUAGAUCAUUGCAAUUUUUGAUCUUGAACGAGGAAUUCCUAGUAAGCGCGAGUCAUCAGCUCGCGUUGAUUACGUCCCUGCCCUUUGUACACACCGCCCGUCGCUACUACCGAUUGAAUGGUUUAGUGAGGACUCCUGAUUGGCGCCGCCGCCCCGGCAACGGAGCAGCGGACUGCCGAAAAGUUGUUCAAACUUGAUCAUUUAGAGGAAGUAAAAGUCGUAACA